GAUGAAGAACGUAGCGAAAUGCGAUAAGUAAUGUGAAUUGCAGAAUUCAGUGAAUCAUCGAAUCUUUGAACGCACAUUGCGCCCGCCAGUAUUCUGGCGGGCAUGCCUGUUCGAGCGUCAUUUCAACCAUCAAGCCCCAGGCUUGUGUUGGGGACCUGCGGCUGCCGCAGGCCCUGAAAACCAGUGGCGGGCUCGCUGUCACACCGGGCGUAGUAGAUUUUAUCUCGCUCUGGGCGUGCUGCGGGUUCCGGCCGUUAAAAAACCCUUUUAACCCAAGGUUGACCUCGGAUCAGGUAGGAAUACCCGCUGAGCUUAAGCAUAUCAAUAAGCGGAGGA
RNAcentral lists this unclassified non-coding RNA (336 nucleotides) under soil metagenome. RNAcentral describes it as "partial contains 5.8S ribosomal RNA, internal transcribed spacer 2, and large subunit ribosomal RNA". The stretch from base 1 to 120 matches the Rfam family "5.8S ribosomal RNA", at positions 35 to 154 of the family's 154-position model. The record is from RNAcentral.